Molecule: long non-coding RNA, 1078 nt
Filed under: Oreochromis niloticus (Nile tilapia)
Lineage: Eukaryota; Metazoa; Chordata; Actinopteri; Cichliformes; Cichlidae
Description: lncRNA (ENSONIG00000028187.1)
Source: RNAcentral
CCCGGACCAGUCCCGCCUAUUACACCCGCUAAAGUGGAAACGGCCGUCAAGAAGAUGAAAAAUGGAAAAACAACCGGACCAGACGAUAUCCCAACUGAAGUCUGGAAGCUUCUCGGGCGACCGGGAACGACCAUCCUGAUAGAAGUGUUUAACAACAUUGUCAGCACAGGGGAAGUCCCGAAGAUCUGGACAACUAGCAUUACCAUACCCAUAUGGAAGAACAAAGGGGAUGUAGCCGAAUGCUCAAAUUAUUGUCCUAUCCGCCUACUAUGUCACACGACGAAAAUAUUCGAAAGAGUCAUCGAUGCACGUCUUCGGGAAAUUGUCAAUGUCACCCCCAACCAUUGCGGUUUCGUAAAGGGAUGUGGAACAACUGACGCCAUACACGCCGCCCGACUCCUGCUGGAGAAGCACAGGGAAAAGAACAAGACUGUGAAACUGCAAUUGAAAUCGCCAGCAAACAGGGACAGAAAAGAAAAGACUUGUGGUCGCUGCGGAAUGCAACAUCCUCCUAAAAAAUGUCCAGCAUAUGGGAAAAGAUGCAAUAAUUGUAACAAAAAUAACCAUUAUGCUGGGUGCUGCAAAGCUCAAACCCCGAAACAAAGUACAGUCCAUACUGUGGAUGAAGAAGACACAGAGGAACUCUAUGUAGCUGCAGUGACAGACAAUAAGACAGGUGAAAAGGACUGGAUAAUGACACUCAAAGUGAAUGACACACUCAUGAAAGUCAAGCUGGAUACUGGAGCUCAAGUGAAUGUGAUAUCAGAAGCAGAGUUCAAGAAAAUCAGACCUAGACCUAAAAUACAUGCAACAAAGGUGAAAGUGAGUGGAUACUCAGGUGCAGAAAUACCUGUGAAAGGAAAAUGCAUGGUUAAAGUAACACACAAAGACAAGGAGCACAGGCUAACAUUCAGUGUGGUGCCGAAGACUGUGCAGCCUAUACUAGGGUUACAUGACUGUGACAGUCUGAACCUAGUGAAAAGAGUGCUCGUUGUGGAAACGGAUGAUGACAUGGACUAUAAUGAGUUGAUGAAGGAAUAUGGUGACCUAUUUCAGGGACUUGGUUGCCUUGCUGGAG